CCUACGGGGGGCAGCAGUGGGGAAUAUUGGACAAUGGGGGCAACCCUGAUCCAGCCAUGCCGCGUGUGUGAAGAAGGCCCUCGGGUUGUAAAGCACUUUCAGUGAGGAAGAACGCCUGGUGGUUAAUACCCAUCAGGAAAGACAUCACUCACAGAAGAAGCACCGGCUAACUCCGUGCCAGCAGCCGCGGUAAUACGGAGGGUGCGAGCGUUAAUCGGAAUUACUGGGCGUAAAGCGCGCGUAGGUGGCUUGAUAAGCCGGUUGUGAAAGCCCCGGGCUCAACCUGGGAACGGCAUCCGGAACUGUCAAGCUAGAGUGCAGGAGAGGAAGGUAGAAUUCCAGGUGUAGCGGUGAAAUGCGUAGAGAUAGGGAGGAAUACCAGUGGCGAAGGCGGCCUUCUGGACUGAAACUGACACUGAGGUGCGAAAGCGUGGGUAGCAAACAGGAUUAGAUACCCCUGUAGUC
Molecule: ribosomal RNA, 465 nt
Filed under: Vreelandella stevensii
Lineage: Bacteria; Pseudomonadati; Pseudomonadota; Gammaproteobacteria; Oceanospirillales; Halomonadaceae
Description: partial 16S ribosomal RNA
Rfam family: Bacterial small subunit ribosomal RNA
Source: RNAcentral